UGUUGUAGUUAGGGCUGCAAUGGUUGUCGUAGAUGCUAAAGUUGUUGUAGGAGCUGCAGUUGUUGUGGGAGCUACAGUUGUUGUAGGUGCUGUUGUUGUGGUUGUCGUAGGAGCUGAAGUUGUAGUUGUUGUAGCAGGAGCUGCAGUGGUUGUCGUAAUAGGUUCUGGAGUUGUAGUGGUCGUUGGAGCAGCAGUGGUUGUAGUUAGAGCUUCUAUGGUUGUCGUAGAGGCAGCUGCUGUGGUUGACGUAGGAGCUACAGUUGUUGUAUCAGGAGCUGUAGUUGUGAUUGUUGUAGUAAGUACAGCAGGUGGAGUGGUCGUGGUAGCUACAGUUGUAGGAACUGCAGGAGUUGUAGUAGGUGCCGUUGUUAUGGUUGUCGUAGGAGCUGAAGUUGUAGUUGUUGUAGAAGGUGCUGCAGUCACUGUGGUCGUAAGAACAGCAGUUGUUGUAGUAGGAGCUGCACUGGUUGUCGUAGUAGGUUGUGGAGUUGCAGUGGUCGUAGGAGCAGCAGUUGUUGUAGUUAGGGCUGCAGUGGUUGUCGUAGAUGCUAAAGUUGUUGUAGGAGCUGCAGUUGUUGUGGGAGCUACAGUUGUUGUAGGUGCUGUUGUGGUUGUCGUAGGAGCUGAAGUUGUAGUUGUUGUAGCAGGAGCUGCAGUGGUUGUC
Long non-coding RNA from Oncorhynchus keta (chum salmon), 664 nucleotides. RefSeq lists it as uncharacterized. The record is from RefSeq and is a predicted model, not a curated record. The transcript has 3 exons. Lineage: Eukaryota; Metazoa; Chordata; Actinopteri; Salmoniformes; Salmonidae.